RNAcentral lists this ribosomal RNA (491 nucleotides) under uncultured bacterium. RNAcentral describes it as "partial 16S ribosomal RNA". It matches the Rfam family "Bacterial small subunit ribosomal RNA", at positions 29 to 506 of the family's 1533-position model. The record is from RNAcentral.
AGUGAACGCUGGCGGUAGGCCUAACACAUGCAAGUCGAACGGCAGCACAGUAAGAGCUUGCUCUUACGGGUGGCGAGUGGCGGACGGGUGAGGAAUACAUCGGAAUCUACUUUUUCGUGGGGGCUAACGUAGGGAAACUUACGCUAAUACCGCAUACGACCUACGGGUGAAAGCAGGGGAUCUUCGGACCUUGCGCGAUUGAAUGAGCCGAUGUCGGAUUAGCUAGUUGGCGGGGUAAAGGCCCACCAAGGCGACGAUCCGUAGCUGGUCUGAGAGGAUGAUCAGCCACACUGGAACUGAGACACGGUCCAGACUCCGACGGGAGGCAGCAGUGGGGAAUAUUGGACAAUGGGCGCAAGCCUGAUCCAGCCAUACCGCGUGGGUGAAGAAGGCCUUCGGGUUGUAAAGCCCUUUUGUUGGGAAAGAAAAGCAGCAGGUUAAUACCCCGCUGUUCUGACGGUACCCAAAGAAUAAGCACCGGCUAACUUCGU